RNAcentral lists this ribosomal RNA (547 nucleotides) under uncultured eukaryote. Its description in RNAcentral is "SSU rRNA". It matches the Rfam family "Eukaryotic small subunit ribosomal RNA", at positions 21 to 570 of the family's 1831-position model. The record is from RNAcentral.
UGUAGUCAUAUGCUUGUCUCAAAGAUUAAGCCAUGCAUGUCUAAGUAUAAGCAAUUAUACCGCGAAACUGCGAAUGGCUCAUUAAAUCAGUUAUCGUUUAUUUGAUAGUACCUUACUACAUGGAUAACCGUGGUAAUUCUAGAGCUAAUACAUGCUAAAAAUCCCGACUUCGGAAGGGAUGUAUUUAUUAGAUUAAAAACCAAUGCCCUUCGGGGCUCUCUGGUGAUUCAUAAUAACUUCUCGAAUCGCACGGCCUUGCGCCGGCGAUGGUUCAUUCAAAUUUCUGCCCUAUCAACUUUCGACGGCUGGGUCUUGGCCAGCCAUGGUGACAACGGGUAACGGAGGGUUAGGGCUCGACCCCGGAGAAGGAGCCUGAGAAACGGCUACUACAUCCAAGGAAGGCAGCAGGCGCGCAAAUUACCCAAUCCCGACUCGGGGAGGUAGUGACAAUAAAUACUGAUACAGAGCUCUUUUGGGUCUUGUAAUUGGAAUGAGUACAAUUUAAAUCCCUUAACGAGGAACAAUUGGAGGGCAAGUCUGGUAAUCG